This 488-nucleotide ribosomal RNA is filed under the name uncultured bacterium. Its description in RNAcentral is "partial 16S ribosomal RNA". It matches the Rfam family "Bacterial small subunit ribosomal RNA", at positions 28 to 507 of the family's 1533-position model. The record is from RNAcentral.
GACGAACGCUGGCGGCGUGCUUAACACAUGCAAGUCGAACGGAAAGGCCCUGAUUUUGUGGGGUGCUCGAGUGGCGAACGGGUGAGUAACACGUGUGUAACCUGCCCUUGACUUUGGGAUAACUUCAGGGAACAGGGGCUAAUACCGGAUAGGAGCUCCUGCUGCAUGGUGGGGGUUGGAAAGUUUCGGCGGUUGGGGAUGGUCUCGCGGCUUAUCAGCUUGUUGGUAAGGUAACGGCUUAACAAGGCUACGACGGGUAGCCGACCUGAGAGGGUGAUCGGCCACACUGGAACUGAGACACGGUCCAGACGCCUAUGGGAGGCAGCAGUAGGGAAUCUGCCGCAAUGGGCGAAAGCCUGACGGAGCAACGCCGCGUGAGUGAAGAAGGUCUUCGGAUCGUAAAACUCUGUUAUUAGGGAAGAACAAAUGUGUAAGUAACUAUGCACGUCUUGACGGUACCUAAUCAGAAAGCCACGGCUAACUACGUG